UACGUAGGGGGCAAGCGUUGUCCGGAUUUAUUGGGCGUAAAGAGCGUGUAGGCGGUUAGAUAGGUCUGCUGUGAAAACUCCAGGCUCAACCUGGAGACGUCGGUGGAAACCAUCUAACUAGAGUCCGGAAGAGGAGAGUGGAAUUCCUGGUGUAGCGGUGAAAUGCGCAGAUAUCAGGAAGAACACCGGUGGCGAAGGCGGUUCUCUAGUACGGUACUGACGCUGAGACGCGAAAGCGUGGGGAGCGAACAGG
Molecule: ribosomal RNA, 253 nt
Filed under: uncultured bacterium
Lineage: Bacteria
Description: partial 16S ribosomal RNA
Rfam family: Bacterial small subunit ribosomal RNA
Source: RNAcentral